Non-coding RNA from Rattus norvegicus (Norway rat), 69 nucleotides. NCBI's taxonomy places the organism in Eukaryota, Metazoa, Chordata, Mammalia, Rodentia, Muridae. The record is from Rfam.
GGGGAUUUAGCUCAGUGGUAGAGCGCUUGCCUAGCAAACGAAAGACCCUGGGUUCGGUCCCCAGCUCCG